ACAAUUCAUAUCCUGCAACUAGAGAGAAAAGUGGUAAAAUUCACUCACGUCAUGCCACGACGUUAAAAGUGACGCUUUACGGGAGGCUGCCCAUAUUUCUUUAAUUUUAAUUUGAUUUUGUGUUUUUUAUUUUUAAAUAAGUUUAUUUUGUUAUUUUUUUAUUAAUCUACCAAACUUCAUAAUUUUUUAAAUUGAUUUGAACAAAAUUUAGAGUGUUAAAGUAGUUGCACAAUGAAUUUUUUAUUUUAUUUUGCAUAAAGUUCAACUGUCCAUUUUUGACCCAAGUAAGUGACUUGUUUGUUUUAAAACAAAACCAUAAAGUUACCUCUAUUUUCCCCUUCUAGACAAAACACUGCACGCACAGCCCCAUUUUUCAGAAACACAGCAAUCAGGCAAUAGUUUUCUUUCUCCUCUCCUCCUCUUUUCUCUCCCUUGCUUUCUCUUUACUGGCAUAACUUUGUUUUUCUUUUCUCUCUUCUCACAUUUCCUUUUUCUUUUUCUGUGAUUUUUUUAUGUGGAGCUUAGAUCACAAAGUGCGAAACUUUAGCGUUGUUUGAUUGAGAUGAGGUUGUGAUUGAACUAUAUUUCCCACAUUUUUGGGAGACUAAUUCAUGGUCCUUGCUGUGACAUAGAGUUUGCUUAAGUGAUACGUGCAACUUGCUCGACAAAUUGUUUCAGAGGAAAAUUAAAUAGCUGGGGGAGUCUGAGUAAUCGUGCAACAUUAAGAGAUGCGUAGAAGUCAGUUUUGGUGUGAGAGAUUUUUGCUGAGUUUGGCCAAAGAAUGGCGUAAUGUGUAAAUGGGAGAGGAAGAGACAGGAGAACCGCAACAUAUGUAUUCUUUCGUACAGUUGAAAAUUCUCAGAUUUUGGAGUAAACGGGAUUUGAAUUUGGAGUAGCGUAAGGAGCGGAAAAGGUACAGAUGCUCAUUGAGGUGAUUCGUCAGUCUAGGGUAUCUGUUCUGCUGUUCGGAGUGCUCCUUUGAUCCGGAGCCUAUACUUUUGGUAUAGAUCUUUUUAUUGUACAUACCUUGUGUUUAUGACUAUUUUGGGUACGGCGGGGCCCUGUCCCGUCAUUUGAUUUUGUUGUCUGUAUUAGAGGCUUGUAGACAUGUAUGUGGGUCAUGGGUCGUGUUUGUUCAGUGAUGCUUAUUUGAUUUGUGUCCGGUUUUCUCCUACACUACGUUAA
Lycium barbarum (goji berry) is the source of this 1185-nucleotide long non-coding RNA. RefSeq lists it as uncharacterized. The transcript has 4 exons. The record is from RefSeq and is a predicted model, not a curated record. Lineage: Eukaryota; Viridiplantae; Streptophyta; Magnoliopsida; Solanales; Solanaceae.